Molecule: unclassified non-coding RNA, 224 nt
Filed under: Hevea brasiliensis (rubber tree)
Lineage: Eukaryota; Viridiplantae; Streptophyta; Magnoliopsida; Malpighiales; Euphorbiaceae
Source: RNAcentral
UUUUUUUUUUUUUUUUUUUAGAGAUUGAGAGAGAGAAAGAGAUUAAUUGUGCUUUGAUCGGAGAGAGAUGAUUUUAGUGAAGAGAGAGAGAGAGAGCUGCCGGAGUGUUCUUGAAAAGAAAAGACGCAAAAUUAAAAUGAAAAGAUUUUGAAAAUAAGGUUUUGAAGUUUGAACCAGGAGUAGCCGUUAUGUCCCUAACGUCCAUAUCUUUAGGAGGCGACAUA